Molecule: ribosomal RNA, 263 nt
Filed under: uncultured archaeon
Lineage: Archaea
Description: partial 16S ribosomal RNA
Rfam family: Archaeal small subunit ribosomal RNA
Source: RNAcentral
AGUCACUGACAUUAGAUACCCGUGUAGUCCAGGGUGUAAACGCUGCAGACUUGGUGUUGGAGGCCCUUUGGGGGCAUUCAGUGCCGGAGAGAAGUUGUUAAGUCUGCUACUUGGGGAGUACGUCCGCAAGGAUGAAACUUAAAGGAAUUGGCGGGGAGCACCGCAACGGGAGGAGCGUGCGGUUUAAUUGGAUUCAACACCGUAAACUCACCAGGGAAGACUGUUACAUGAAGGCCGAGAUGAAGACUCUGCUAGAUUUUCAG